AAACUAACAAGGAUUCCCCUAGUAGCGGCGAGUGAAGCGGGAAGAGCUCAAAUUUGUAAUCUGGCGUCUUUCAGGCGUCCGAGUUGUAAUCUAUAGAAGUGUUUUCCGUGCUGGACCAUGUCCAAGUCCCUUGGAACAGGGUAUCAAAGAGGGUGACAAUCCCGUACUUGACAUGACCACCAGUGCUCUGUGAUACACUUUCUACGAGUCGAGUUGUUUGGGAAUGCAGCUCAAAAUGGGUGGUAAAUUCCAUCUAAAGCUAAAUAUUGGCGAGAGACCGAUAGCGAACAAGUACCGUGAGGGAAAGAUGAAAAGCACUUUGGAAAGAGAGUUAAACAGUACGUGAAAUUGUUGAAAGGGAAACGAUUGAAGUCAGUCGUGUUCAUUGGACUCAGCCGGUUUUCGGUGUAUUUCCUUUGAACGGGUCAACAUCAGUUUUGUCCGGUGGAUAAAGGCAGGAAGAAAGUGGCUCCCUCGGGAGUGUUAUAGCUUUCUGUCACAUACACUGGAGGAGACUGAGGACUGCAGCUCGCCUUUUGGCCGGGGGUUCGCCCACGUUCGAGCUUAGGAUGUUGACAUAAUGGCUUUAAACGAC
RNAcentral lists this ribosomal RNA (595 nucleotides) under Vanrija humicola. Its description in RNAcentral is "eukaryotic LSU rRNA". It matches the Rfam family "Eukaryotic large subunit ribosomal RNA", at positions 62 to 648 of the family's 3401-position model. The record is from RNAcentral. Lineage: Eukaryota; Fungi; Basidiomycota; Tremellomycetes; Trichosporonales; Trichosporonaceae.